AGAGUUUGAUCAUGGCUCAGGACGAACGCUGGCGGCGUGCUUAACACAUGCAAGUCGUGGGCACCAGCAAUGGUGACCGGCGAACGGGUGCGUAACACGUGAGCGACCUACCGAUUUGUGGGGGAUAGCCGGCCCAACGGCCGGGUAAUACCGCAUACGCCAAGUGGACUUCAUGGUCCGUUUGGGAAACCUCCGGGGCA
Molecule: ribosomal RNA, 200 nt
Filed under: uncultured bacterium
Lineage: Bacteria
Description: partial 16S ribosomal RNA
Rfam family: Bacterial small subunit ribosomal RNA
Source: RNAcentral